RNAcentral lists this ribosomal RNA (492 nucleotides) under uncultured bacterium. RNAcentral's name for it is "partial 16S ribosomal RNA". It matches the Rfam family "Bacterial small subunit ribosomal RNA", at positions 29 to 507 of the family's 1533-position model. The record is from RNAcentral.
AGUGAACGCUGGCGGUAGGCCUAACACAUGCAAGUCGAACGGUAGCACAGUAAGAGCUUGCUCUUACGGGUGGCGAGUGGCGGACGGGUGAGGAAUACAUCGGAAUCUACUUUUUCGUGGGGGAUAACGUAGGGAAACUUACGCUAAUACCGCAUACGAUCUACGGGUGAAAGCAGGGGAUCUUCGGACCUUGCGCGUUUGAAUGAGCCGAUGUCGGAUUAGAUAGUUGGCGGGGUAAAGGCCCACCAAGGCGACGAUCCGUAGCUGGUCUGAGAGGAUGAUCAGCCACACUGGAACUGAGACACGGUCCAGACUCCUACGGAAGGCAGCAGUGGGGAAUAUUGGACAAUGGGCGCAAGCCUGCUCCUGCCAUGCCGCGGGGGGUGAGAAGGCCUUCGGGUUGUAAAGCCCUUUUGUUGGGAAAGAAGAGCAGCAGGUUAAUACCCCGCUGUUCUGACGGUACCCGAAGAAUAAGCACCGGCUAACUUCGUG